Molecule: ribosomal RNA, 451 nt
Filed under: Oxystele tigrina
Lineage: Eukaryota; Metazoa; Mollusca; Gastropoda; Trochida; Trochidae
Description: partial 16S ribosomal RNA
Rfam family: Bacterial large subunit ribosomal RNA
Source: RNAcentral
AAACGGCCGCGGUACCCUAACCGUGCAAAGGUAGCAUAAUCAUUUGCCUUUUAAUUGGAGGCUGGUAUGAAUGGUUUGACGAGAGCCACGCUGUCUCUCCCAAAAUAUCUAAAAAUUAACUUUUAGGUGAAGAGGCCUGAAUAUAUUUAAGGGACAAGAAGACCCUGUUGAGCUUUAGUGUAGUUACAAAUAAUUAAGCGAGUUUUAUUUGACAAAAUAAAAUGAUGUUGACUUUGUAUAACGUAAGUUGUAAUGAAUCUUUAGUUGGGGCGACUGAGGAACAAUGAAAGCUUCUUUUUAUAAAACGUUUUUGUUGUAUUAAUGAAGUAUAAGUUGAUUUUUACUAAUUAUUUUGAUCCAAAUUUGUUUUGAUUAAAGGAAAAAGUUACCACAGGGAUAACAGCGUAAUCUUUCUGGAGAGACCUUAUCGAAAGAAGGGUUUGCGACCUCG